UGGGGAAUAUUGCGCAAUGGGGGGAACCCUGACGCAGCCAUGCCGCGUGAAUGAAGAAGGCCUUCGGGUUGUAAAGUUCUUUCGGUAUUGAGGAAGGUUGAUGUGUUAAUAGCACAUCAAAUUGACGUUAAAUACAGAAGAAGCACCGGCUAACUCCGUGCCAGCAGCCGCGGUAAUACGGAGGGUGCGAGCGUUAAUCGGAAUAACUGGGCGUAAAGGGCACGCAGGCGGUUAUUUAAGUGGGGUGUGAAAGCCCCGGGCUUAACCUGGGAAUUGCAUUUCAGACUGGGUAACUAGAGUACUUUAGGGAGGGGUAGAAUUCCACGUGUAGCGGUGAAAUGCGUAGAGAUGUGGAGGAAUACCGAAGGCGAAGGCAGCCCCUUGGGAAUGUACUGACGCUCAUGUGCGAAAGCGUGGGGAGCAAGCAGGAUUAGAUACCCUGGUAGUCCACGCUGUAAACGCUGUCGAUUUGGGGGUUGGGGUUUAACUCUGGCGCCCGUAGCUAACGUGAUAAAUCGACCGCCUGGGGAGUACGGCCGCAAGGUUA
RNAcentral lists this ribosomal RNA (547 nucleotides) under uncultured bacterium. RNAcentral describes it as "bacterial SSU rRNA". It matches the Rfam family "Bacterial small subunit ribosomal RNA", at positions 355 to 896 of the family's 1533-position model. The record is from RNAcentral.